Molecule: ribosomal RNA, 520 nt
Filed under: Sistotremastrum sp.
Lineage: Eukaryota; Fungi; Basidiomycota; Agaricomycetes; Sistotremastrales; Sistotremastraceae
Description: partial small subunit ribosomal RNA
Rfam family: Bacterial small subunit ribosomal RNA
Source: RNAcentral
GAAUCACUAAUGUGUCAUUUGGUGAUAACGGAUUUGGAAAAUAAUGAUAUUACAAUCCUAUAAGUGUUGUCCAAAGCUGGUGCCAGAAGACUCGGUAAGGCCAGAGACGCAAACGUUAGUAGUCCUGAUCAGGCGUAAAGGGUGAGUAGGCAGCUUUAUACUUAUAUUAGGUUGCAAAAAGGUUUUACCUUAUGCAAUUAAAAAUAUGAUACAUAAAGAUAGAAUCAUACACAAGAUAAUUGAAAAAUACUAAGAGUAAGGUCGACAUCUAUAGAUACUUAGUAGAAUACUAAGAGCGAAAGCUACUUUAUCUGGUAAUGAUUGACGCUAAGGAACGAAGGGUAGGAUAGGAAAAAGGAUUAGAUACCCAUGUACCCCUACCUGUCAACGAUGAAUGGUGAGUUAUUUUUUAUUAAAAAAGUAGCGUAGUUAACACGAUUACCAUUCCGCCUUGAGAGUACGAUCGCAAGAUUGAAAUCAAAAAAAUUAGUCGGUCUUGGAGCAAACGAAGUGAAGCAUG